RNAcentral lists this ribosomal RNA (468 nucleotides) under uncultured bacterium. RNAcentral's name for it is "partial 16S ribosomal RNA". It matches the Rfam family "Bacterial small subunit ribosomal RNA", at positions 28 to 507 of the family's 1533-position model. The record is from RNAcentral.
GACGAACGCUGGCGGCGCGCCUAACACAUGCAAGUCGAACGGAGCUGAGAGAAGCUUGCUUUUCUUAGCUUAGUGGCGAACGGGUGAGUAACGCGUGAGUAACCUGCCCUGGAGUGGGGGACAACAGUUGGAAACGACUGCUAAUACCGCAUAAGCCCACGAUCCGGCAUCGGAUUGAGGGAAAAGGAUUUAUUCGCUUCAGGAUGGACUCGCGUCCAAUUAGCUAGUUGGUGAGGUAACGGCCCACCAAGGCGACGAUUGGUAGCCGGACUGAGAGGUUGAACGGCCACAUUGGGACUGAGACACGGCCCAGACUCCUACGGGAGGCAGCAGUGGGGGAUAUUGCACAAUGGGGGAAACCCUGAUGCAGCGACGCCGCGUGGAGGAAGAAGGCUUUCGGAUUGUAAACUCCUGUCGUUAGGGACGAUAAUGACGGUACCUAACAAGAAAGCACCGGCUAACUACGUG